GACGAACGCUGGCGGCGUGCUUAACACAUGCAAGUCGAACGGACAGGCCCCUUCGGGGGUACUCGAGUGGCGAACGGGUGAGUAACACGUGAGUAACCUGCCCUUGACUUCGGGAUAACUUCAGGUAACUGAGGCCAAUACCGGAUAGGAAUCCUUGCUGCAUGGUGAGGGUUCGAAAGCUUCGGCUGUUUUGGAUGGACUCGCGGCGUAUCGGCUUGUCGAGGGGGUAGUGGCUUCCCAAGGCUUGUACGGGUAGCCGGCCUGAGAGGGCGACCGGCCACAUUGGGACUGAGAGACGGCACAGACACCUACGGGAGGCAGAAGGGGGGAAUAUUGAACAAGGGGCGGAGGCCUGAUGCAGCAGCGCCGCGGGCGGGAUGACGGCCUUCGGGUGGUAAACCGCUUUCAGCAGGGGCGAAGCUUGUGGUGACGGUACCUGCAGAAGAAGCACCGGCUAACUACGUG
RNAcentral lists this ribosomal RNA (465 nucleotides) under uncultured bacterium. RNAcentral describes it as "partial 16S ribosomal RNA". It matches the Rfam family "Bacterial small subunit ribosomal RNA", at positions 28 to 507 of the family's 1533-position model. The record is from RNAcentral.